GAGGAAAAGAAAUCAACCGAGAUUCCCCCAGUAGCGGCGAGCGAACGGGGAGCAGCCCAGAGUCUGAAUCAGCUUGUGUGUUAGUGGAACGGUCUGGAAAGUCCGACGGUACAGGGUGAUAGUCCCGUACACCAAAAUGCACAGGCUGUGAACUCGAAGAGUAGGGCGGGACACGUGGUAUCCUGUCUGAAUAUGGGGGGACCAUCCUCCAAGGCUAAAUACUCCUGACUGACCGAUAGUGAACCAGUACCGUGAGGGAAAGGCGAAAAGAACCCCGGCGAGGGGAGUGAAAAAGAACCUGAAACCGUGUACGUACAAGCAGUGGGAGCACCUUCGGGUGUGACUGCGUACCUUUUGUAUAAUGGGUCAGCGACUUAUAUUCUGUAGCAAGGUUAACCGUAUAGGGGAGCCGCAGGGAAACCGAGUCUUAACUGGGCGUUAAGUUGCAGGGUAUAGACCCGAAACCCGGUGAUCUAGCCAUGGGCAGGUUGAAGGUUGGGUAACACUAACUGGAGGACCGAACCGACUAAUGUUGAAAAAUUAGCGGAUGACUUGUGGCUGGGGGUGAAAGGCCAAUCAAACCGGGAGAUAGCUGGUUCUCCCCGAAAGCU
This 611-nucleotide ribosomal RNA is filed under the name Klebsiella pneumoniae. RNAcentral's name for it is "partial 23S ribosomal RNA". It matches the Rfam family "Bacterial large subunit ribosomal RNA", at positions 213 to 867 of the family's 2925-position model. Lineage: Bacteria; Pseudomonadati; Pseudomonadota; Gammaproteobacteria; Enterobacterales; Enterobacteriaceae. The record is from RNAcentral.